GAUGAACGCUGGCGGCGUGCCUAAUACAUGCAAGUCGAGCGAACAGACGAGGAGCUUGCUCCUCUGACGUUAGCGGCGGACGGGUGAGUAACACGUGGAUAACCUACCUAUAAGACUGGGAUAACUUCGGGAAACCGGAGCUAAUACCGGAUAAUAUAUUGAACCGCAUGGUUCAAUAGUGAAAGACGGUUUUGCUGUCACUUAUAGAUGGAUCCGCGUCGCAUUAGCUAGUUGGUAAGGUAACGGCUUACCAAGGCAACGAUGCGUAGCCGACCUGAGAGGGUGAUCGGCCACACUGGAACUGAGACACGGUCCAGACUCCUACGGGAGGCAGCAGUAGGGAAUCUUCCGCAAUGGGCGAAAGCCUGACGGAGCAACGCCGCGUGAGUGAUGAAGGUCUUCGGAUCGUAAAACUCUGUUAUUAGGGAAGAACAAACGUGUAAGUAACUAUGCACGUCUUGACGGUACCUAAUCAGAAAGCCACGGCUAACUACGUG
Molecule: ribosomal RNA, 497 nt
Filed under: uncultured bacterium
Lineage: Bacteria
Description: partial 16S ribosomal RNA
Rfam family: Bacterial small subunit ribosomal RNA
Source: RNAcentral